UCUUCCUUGGUCUAGUGGUCAUGAUUUCCGCUUGUCAUCAGCUAGUCUGCCAGCAAGCGCGGGAGACCGGGGUUCGAUUCCCCGAGGGAGAG
This is a transfer RNA of 92 nucleotides. It matches the Rfam family "tRNA". Rfam says of the family: Transfer RNA (tRNA) molecules are approximately 80 nucleotides in length.